Molecule: ribosomal RNA, 625 nt
Filed under: Amanita sp. 'SAfr02'
Lineage: Eukaryota; Fungi; Basidiomycota; Agaricomycetes; Agaricales; Amanitaceae
Description: Amanita sp. 'sp-SAfr02' partial 28S ribosomal RNA
Rfam family: Eukaryotic large subunit ribosomal RNA
Source: RNAcentral
ACCUGUGCUGGACCGUGUACAAGUCUCCUGGAAUGGAGCAUCACAGAGGGUGAGAAUCCCGUCUUUGACAUGGACUACCAGUGCAUUGCGGUUGCGCUCUCAACGAGUCGAGUUGUUUGGGAAUGCAGCUCUAAAUGGGUGGUAAAUUCCAUCUAAAGCUAAAUAUUGGCGAGAGACCGAUAGCGAACAAGUACCGUGAGGGAAAGAUGAAAAGAACUUUGGAAAGAGAGUUAAACAGUAUGUGAAAUUGUUGAAAGGGAAACGUUUGAAGUCAGUCGCGUUGGUUGGGGAUCAGCCUGACAUUGUUGGGUGUAUUUCCUGGUCGACGGGCCAACAUCAGUUUUGACUGCCAGAAAAAGGCCAAAGGAAUGUGGCACCUUUGGGUGUGUUAUAGCCCUUGGUCGUAUAUGGUGGUUGGGACUGAGGAAAGCAGCGUGCCGAAAGGCCGGGUUUCGACCACGUUCACGCUGAGGAUGUUGGCAUAAUGGCUUUAAGCGACCCGUCUUGAAACACGGACCAAGGAGUCUAACAUGCAUGCGAGUGUUUGGGUGGAAAACCCUUACGCGUAAUGAAAGUGAAAGUUGAGAUCCCUGUCGCGGGGAGCAUCGACGCCCGGACCAGAACU